RNAcentral lists this ribosomal RNA (306 nucleotides) under uncultured eukaryote. RNAcentral describes it as "partial large subunit ribosomal RNA". It matches the Rfam family "Eukaryotic large subunit ribosomal RNA", at positions 40 to 350 of the family's 3401-position model. The record is from RNAcentral.
AUAUCAAUAAGCGGAUGAAAAGAAACCAACAGGGAUUACCUCAGUAACGGCGAGUGAAGCGGUAACAGCUCAAAUUUGAAAUCUGGCUCACGCCCGAGUUGUAAUUUGUAGAAGAUGCUUUGGGUGUAGCUCCGGUCUAAGUUCCUUGGAACAGGACGUCAUAGGGGGUGAGAACCCCGUCGGACCGGCGCAGCUCACUUCACGAGGCGCUUUCGCAGAGUCGGGUUGUUUGGGAAUGCAGCCCUAAGCAGGUGGUAAAUCCCAUCUAAGGCUAAAUACUGGCGGGAGACCGAUAGCGCACAAGUA